This 73-nucleotide transfer RNA is filed under the name Spirochaetaceae bacterium. Its description in RNAcentral is "tRNA-Glu". It matches the Rfam family "tRNA". From Rfam's summary of the family: Transfer RNA (tRNA) molecules are approximately 80 nucleotides in length. Their secondary structure includes four short double-helical elements and three loops (D, anti-codon, and T loops). Lineage: Bacteria; Pseudomonadati; Spirochaetota; Spirochaetia; Spirochaetales; Spirochaetaceae. The record is from RNAcentral.
GGUCCUAUAGACUAGUUGGUUAGGUCACGGCCCUUUCAAGGCCGUAGGACGGGUUCGAGUCCCGUUAGGACUA